UAGCCCUGAAAAUGGAUGGCGCUCAAGCGUCGCACCCAUACUCUGCCGUCGGGGCAAGAGCGAGGCCCCGACGAGUAGGAGGGCGCGGUGGUGGUGAUGCAGCCUUUGGCGUGAGCCUGGGUCAAACCGCCGCUGGUGCAGAUCUUGGUGGUAGUAGCAAAUAUUCAAAUGAGAGCUUUGAAGACUGAAGUGGAGAAAGGUUCCAUGUGAACAGCAGUUGGACAUGGGUUAGUCGGUCCUAAGAGAUAGGGUAACUCCGUUUGAAAAGUGUGCAGUCCUUCGGGUGUGCACCGUCCUGUCGAAAGGGAAUCGGGUCAAUAUUCCCGAACCGGAACACGGAUGUGGUGCUUUCGGGCACCAAAGCGGCAACGCAAACGAACUCGGAGACGCCGGCGGGAGCCCCGGGAAGAGUUCUCUUUUCUUCUUAACAUGCUGUCACCCUGAAAUCGGUUUGCCCGGAGAUAGGGUCACAUGCCUGGUAAAGCGCCACACCUCUUGUGGCGUCCGGUGCGCUCUCGACGGCCCGUGAAAAUCCGAGGGAGCAGAUGAUUAUCGUGUCCGGCCGUACUCAUAACCGCAGCAGGUCUCCAAGGUGAACAGCCUCUAGUCGAUGGAACAAUGUAGGUAAGGGAAGUCGGCAAAAUAGAUCCGU
This 652-nucleotide ribosomal RNA is filed under the name Lamellodysidea herbacea. Its description in RNAcentral is "partial large subunit ribosomal RNA". It matches the Rfam family "Eukaryotic large subunit ribosomal RNA", at positions 1307 to 1931 of the family's 3401-position model. The record is from RNAcentral. Lineage: Eukaryota; Metazoa; Porifera; Demospongiae; Dictyoceratida; Dysideidae.